AUCUAUUUACUGUGAACUGUAUUAUUAUUUGGCGCCUGAGGAAUGUUCUGCUGCUAUAAGGAUAGGCAGUAGAAAUGUUAACCGAGCCAUAAUCAAGCUUAGGCUUGGUAUCCUAUUAUUAUUUACCAAAAGAAUUCAGAAUUAAUAUUGUAACAUAGACCUAAAAAAUCUAUAAAACAACUUUUAACAACGGAUCUCUUGGUUCUCGCAUCGAUGAAGAACGUAGCAAAGUGCGAUAACUAGUGUGAAUUGCAUAUUCAGUGAAUCAUCGAGUCUUUGAACGCAACUUGCGCUCAUUGGUAUUCCAAUGAGCACGCCUGUUUCAGUAUCAAAACAAACCCUCUAUCCAACAUUUUGUUGAAUAGGAUGACUGAGAGUCUCCUGAUCAAUUCUGAUCUCGAACCUCUUGAAAUGUACAAAGGCCUGAUCUUGUUUAAAUGCCUGAACUUUUUUUUAAUAUAAAGAGAAGCUCUUGCGGUAAACUGUGCUGGGGCCUCCCAAAUAAUACACUUUUAAAUUG
Molecule: ribosomal RNA, 520 nt
Filed under: Mucor griseocyanus
Lineage: Eukaryota; Fungi; Mucoromycota; Mucoromycetes; Mucorales; Mucoraceae
Description: eukaryotic LSU rRNA
Rfam family: 5.8S ribosomal RNA (bases 179-331)
Source: RNAcentral